AUCACGCAGUAGGACGCGACCUGAUGUGCCGACAGGCGGCCCAUUCCCUUGUGGAGUCCCAGCGCCAUGGGCGCAUCGGUUUGAUGAAGCCGAAAGCGGCAUCGGAUCGCGGCAGCUCAGUCGCCCAUCACGUCGCACGCUGGCCCGGAAGGAGAAGGCACACAUGCCUCGCACGUCAUGCGCGAAAGGGACUCCUCAUCUGCUCGACAUAAUGCGCGACGGUGCGGAUGGACCACAUGACGUUCCUCUAUCGAUCUUCCCAGGUUGGAGAGAGGAGCGCAACACAAGUCCAAGGAUGAUGUGAUGUCCCAGCUGUUCGGCUGGUGAGAUGUCAGGUGGGUGCUCGACGAAUUGCCUCAAAGAGGAAGUCGUCCUUCUCGGUGCUAACACACACGACGUUGACCUGAGCUUGGGAUCAUACAAUACAAAGAAAAGAUACAACAAUCAUUCUCCACUUAUAUCUACUCCCCAUUCCUUAUAAACAAGACAGGUGAGCAAAGUAGACGCAUGUUUACAAUGUAAGUAAAUUACUAUUUUCCACGUCUUUGGAGGAUAUUUUAGAUGAUGCGUUCGUUGUAUGUUUGAAUUGGUGGUACCAAAUUAUUUGGUCCUGUUCCGAUCCAUUAGCCACCAUAUCGUGUUCUUCCCACCACCUGCAUGCGACUAGCAUGCACGUUACGUGACGGCUGCGAUGCGGAUGCCACCUAUGUCAUUGACACGGUCCUUUGUACCACCUCGGUUGAUUGCCUUCACCGAAUCCCCGUCCUAUCUUUUCUUGUCUUUGCAUGAUGUAUGUAUGCAUCCAUGGAUUCCAUGCAUGCUUCUUGACCCGUGUAAUUGCCAUGCCGAGUACCUAUCUAUGCUUAAGAUGCUGCGAUAUGUCGAUUCCGCUUUGAAUCUUUCAAGUUUAUGUACUAAAUUGUCGAUUUAUGACUUAGUACAACCACCAAACAGAAAAUGUGAGGUGGUCACUGUUGCAGGGUCCCACUUUGCGAGAUGCUGAUUCCCUGUUCCCUGCCUGUGAUUCAACAGGAGAUCCGCUCGCUUAACGUGGCUGGUGUUGAACGCGCGUAGCCCCACUUGUGUCAUCCAAUAAGUUGAAUAGAUGAAUAGAUUGAGACGGAGAUAGCGCAGCAGCAGCAGCCGCAGUAGCAGCAGGCAGAGAGAGAGAGAGAUGGCGAGGAACAUGAUGGAGCUCGUGAAAAGGGGAAGGAACGGGUUGCCUCUUCUCCGAAUGGCCUCGCUCUUCUCUACUCAACAAGCGGUGGAUCCUGCGGCGGCUUCUCUGAAUCAACAAGGAAGCCACGCAAGAGUUCGAUAUGGUGAACGCAGCGCAGCUUAUUGGGAGGACGCCGAUGGUGUACCUGAACGAAGUGACUGAAGGUUGUCAUGCACAGAUCGCAGCAAAGCUUGACUUUUUGCAACCUUCCUUCAGCGUGAAGGACAGGUGUGACAUGUUGCCCUGUCUCUCAGCUUAUUGGGAGGACGGCCAAUGGUGUAUCUGAACAAAGUGACUGAAGGCUGUCAUGCACAGAUCGCAGCAAAGCUGGACUUUUUGCAACCUUCCUUCAGCGUGAAGGACAGGGGUGACAUGUUGCCCUGUCUCUUGUUUUCAUGCAGUCCGCGAGAAGUGGGCUUGUCCACCGUCUGACUGAUAGGCGAUUGCUCACCGCCUGCUUCUCUUUCUCUUGUAUUCUGGCCGGCUGUGGCCAUGAUAGAAGAUGCUGAGAAGAAUGGAGCUGAUGACUCCUGGCAAGGUUGUCACUCUUUGUUUUA
Musa acuminata AAA Group (dessert banana) is the source of this 1776-nucleotide long non-coding RNA. RefSeq lists it as uncharacterized. Lineage: Eukaryota; Viridiplantae; Streptophyta; Magnoliopsida; Zingiberales; Musaceae. The record is from RefSeq and is a predicted model, not a curated record. The transcript is spliced from 4 exons.